Molecule: ribosomal RNA, 468 nt
Filed under: uncultured bacterium
Lineage: Bacteria
Description: partial 16S ribosomal RNA
Rfam family: Bacterial small subunit ribosomal RNA
Source: RNAcentral
GACGAACGCUGGCGGCGUGCUUAACACAUGCAAGUCGAACGGACAGGCCCUGCUUUUGUGGGGUUCUCGAGUGGCGAACGGGUGAGUAACACGUGAGUAACCUGCCCUUGACUUUGGGAUAACUUCAGGAAACUGGGGCUAAUACCGGAUAGGAGCUCCUGCUGCAUGGUGGGGGUUGGAAAGUUUCGGCGGUUGUGGAUGGUUUCGCGGCUUAUCAGCUUGUUGGUGGGGUAGUGGCUUACCAAGGCUUUGACGGGUAGCCGGCCUGAGAGGGUGACCGGGGACAUUGGGCCUGAGAUACGGCGCAGUAGCCAACGGGAGGCAGCAGGGGAGAACAUUGCACAGUGGGGGGAAGCGUGAUGCAGAAACGCUGGGUGCGGGAUAACCUGUUAUGGGGGAAAAACAGAUGUGGCAUGUGACGAGCCGGUAGUGACGGUAAUGGGUAAAGAAGCACCGGCUAACUACGUG